UACGUAGGGGGCAAGCGUUGUCCGGAAUCAUUGGGCGUAAAGAGCGUGUAGGCGGCCAGAUAAGUCCGCUGUGAAAACUCGAGGCUUAACCUCGAGAUGUCAUCGGAAACCAUUUGGCUAGAGUCCGGAAGAGGAGACUGGAAUUCCUGGUGUAGCGGUGAAAUGCGCAGAUAUCAGGAGGAAUACCGGUGGCGAAGGCGGGUCUCUGGGCCGAUACUGACGCUGAGGAGCGAAAGCGUGGGGAGCGAACAGG
This 253-nucleotide ribosomal RNA is filed under the name uncultured bacterium. RNAcentral describes it as "partial 16S ribosomal RNA". It matches the Rfam family "Bacterial small subunit ribosomal RNA", at positions 524 to 776 of the family's 1533-position model. The record is from RNAcentral.